AAGCGGCAGAGGCACGGAGGACGUGGCUGGGCGCCCCGGGCACGAGCAGGACCCGAGGCCAGGGGCCAGGGGCCCAGAAGGUUCAUACCUGUUGGUGGAGAUGUUAGAGAGGAGUGGAGAUAAAAACUUGAUGAAGUCCGACACAGCUGGCUGGGAGUGAACCUGGAUGCUCCUAAGGACCCCCCAGGAAAGUAAGCACCUGGCAUGUGUAUCAGAAGACCCCCUAUGGCCUCACACACAGGCACCGGCUUCUUCUUGACAACUUCCCUGGGUGACUCUUAGAACUCAAUGGCCACGUCCAGCUCAGAGAUCAGAAGCAGCGCGCGUCCCAGAGCGCUACCAUAAUGAUGCCGUCCAGGUCCACAGUACAACCGGCUGCCUUGGUCAUUGCCGUAAUGACAGUACAUUCCAACUUCUCAAGGUGGUCAGGAAGUGGAACCAAGCAGGAAGUUCUGCAUGCCUAUGGCUUCCCUGUGGAGGGACCUCAAGAAGCCACAACAUCCAGCUCUACGCCAAGACUGACUGACGGCCUUUGGGGUGAGGUAGUAGGUUGUAUGGUUUUGGGCUCUGCCCCGCUCUGCGGUAACUAUACAAUCUACUGUCUUUCCUGAAGUGGCCGCAAUAUCUGCAGUGGAUACAACGGCGGCCCUGGCUGGGGAGACUGAGGGAGGGACAGGGGGGUGAUAACUACCAUGCAAAAAGAGCCUGACAGAGACCUUGGAUAGUCCCUUGACCUCUCUGGGCUGUUACUCAUCUGUAUAAGGGUUGGGGCAUAGCGAUGAAAACAGACAGCAUUUUCAGGGCACCUUCUCUCCCUGGCCCACACUGAAGGGGCCUUCCUGCCCCUGGCCCCAUAUCAGACCUGUGCUCACAGGUCUCCAUGAAAAGAGGGUCUGGACUAGACCUUCAACUAUGUUCCAGAGUUGCCCAGGCUUUCCAGCGCAGGGUCAGGCCUCUGACGAGCAAGCGUCUCUUCCGAGAAGAAAUUGAAAAGGAGCCAUUCUUAGCACACCCAUGAGUACAGCCUGCAGAUGGACCGUGUAGGCCACUGUCCCCUGUCCCUGGGGCAAUGGGUUCAGACACCAGAGGCUUCCUCAAUCUGUUUGGUAGGCACAGGCCUUUCUCACUGAACCUCUGUCUCCACUUCCCCCUCCCCCACCCCGCCCUGUGCCCUAUGGCUCUAGUGGCCUGUGGCCAGGGUGGGUGGGGAGCGGCUGGGCCUCCUCCAGAACACGGACACCGCAGGGUGAGGUAGUAGGUUGUGUGGUUUCAGGGCAGUGAUGUUGCCCCUCCGAAGAUAACUAUACAACCUACUGCCUUCCCUGAGGCGCCCAGGGACACAGCUACAUGGAGGCCCCCGCUCAGCAAGCUAAAUGGAGCCACAGAUUGGGUGGGGGCUAUGACGUGGGACCUGGGUAUAAAUAAAGGAUGUUCUGUCAUGAACUUA
This 1447-nucleotide long non-coding RNA is filed under the name Mus musculus (house mouse). Its description in RNAcentral is "long noncoding RNA near Ppara, transcript variant 3 (Lncppara)". The stretch from base 1242 to 1326 matches the Rfam family "let-7 microRNA precursor family". Lineage: Eukaryota; Metazoa; Chordata; Mammalia; Rodentia; Muridae. The record is from RNAcentral.